GACGAACGCUGGCGGCGUGCUUAAUACAUGCAAGUCGAGCGAACAGAUGAGGAGCUUGCUCCUUUGACGUUAGCGGCGCGCGGGUGUGUAACACGUGUAAAACCUACCUAUAUGACUGGGAUAACUUCGGGAAACCGGAGCUAAUACCGGAUAAUCUAUUGAACCGCAGGGUUGAAUAGUGAAAGACGGUGGUGCUGUCACUUAUAGAUGCAUACGGGCCGCAUUAUCUAGUUGGUAAGGUAACGGCUUACCAAGGCAACCAUGCGUAGGCGACGGGGGAGAGGGAUCGCCCACCUGGGAACGGGGACAGGGUCCAGACUCCUACGGGAGGCACCAGUCGGGAACCUUCCGCAAUGGGCGAAAGCCUGACGGAGCAAGGCGGCGUGAGUGAUGAAGGUCUCGGGUUCGUAAUACUCUGUUAUUAGGGAAAAACAAAUUUGUAAGUAAAGAUACACGUCUUGACGGUACCGGAUCAGAAAGCCACGGCUAACUACGUG
Molecule: ribosomal RNA, 497 nt
Filed under: uncultured bacterium
Lineage: Bacteria
Description: partial 16S ribosomal RNA
Rfam family: Bacterial small subunit ribosomal RNA
Source: RNAcentral